Molecule: ribosomal RNA, 650 nt
Filed under: Rhizopogon evadens var. subalpinus
Lineage: Eukaryota; Fungi; Basidiomycota; Agaricomycetes; Boletales; Rhizopogonaceae
Description: eukaryotic LSU rRNA
Rfam family: Eukaryotic large subunit ribosomal RNA
Source: RNAcentral
CCCUAGUAACUGCGAGUGAACCGGGAAGAGCUCAAAUUUUGAAUCUGGCGGUCUUUUGGCCGUCCGAGUUGUAAUCUAGAGAAGCGUCUUCCGCGUUGGACCGUGUAUAAGUUUCCUGGAAAGGAACGUCAUAGAGGGUGAAAAUCCCGUCUUUGACACGGACUACCAGGGCUAUGUGAUGCGCUCUCGACGAGUCGAGUUGUUUGGGAAUGCAGCUCAAAUAGGGUGGUAAAUUCCAUCUAAAGCUAAAUACAGGCGAGAGACCGAUAGCGAACAAGUACCGUGAGGGAAAGACGAAAAGAACUUUGGAAAGAGAGUUAAACAGUGCGUGAAAUUGCUGAAAGGGAAACGCUUGAUGUCAGUCGCGUUGUCUGGGGAUCAACCUUGCUUAACGGUGAGGCGCACUUCCUGGUCGACGGGUCAGCAUCAGUUUUGAGCGUCGGAAAAGGGCUCAAGGAAAGUGGCACUCUCUCGGGAGUGUGUUAUAGACUUGGGUCUUGAAUACGAUGGUUGGGACUGAGGAACUCAGCACGGCCUGCAAGGGUAUCGGGGCUUUGGCCCACGUUCGCGUGCUUAGGAUGCUGGCAUAAUGGCCUUAAGCGACCCGUCUUGAAACACGGACCAAGGAGUCUAACAUGCAUGCGAGUGUU